RNAcentral lists this non-coding RNA (286 nucleotides) under Marmota monax (woodchuck). Lineage: Eukaryota; Metazoa; Chordata; Mammalia; Rodentia; Sciuridae. The record is from RNAcentral.
CUGCAGACUUGUUGGUUAAGGAACAACUUAAUUUAAAACACAUAGAACCUUCUAAUAGUCCAUGGAAUACUCCUAUACUUCUUAUUAAAAAGAAAUUAGGUAAAUGGAGAUUAUUACAAGAUUUAAGAGCUAUAAAUGCUACUAUGGAGGAUAUGGGUUCCUUACAACCAGGACUCACCUCUCCAGUAACUGUCCCUAAAGGAUCUCAUGUUAUGGUAAUAGACUUACAAGAUUGCUUUUUUACUAUUCCAUUACAUCCUGAUGAUCAUAAAAGGUUUGCUUUUAG